UUAGAGUUUGAUCAUGGCUCAGAUUGAACGCUGGCGGCAGGCCUAACACAUGCAAGUCGAGCGGAUGACGGGAGCUUGCUCCUUGAUUCAGCGGCGGACGGGUGAGUAAUGCCUAGGAAUCUGCCUGGUAGUGGGGGACAACGUUUCGAAAGGAACGCUAAUACCGCAUACGUCCUACGGGAGAAAGCAGGGGACCUUCGGGCCUUGCGCUAUCAGAUGAGCCUAGGUCGGGUUAGCUAGUUGGUGGGGUAAUGGCUCACCAAGGGCGACGAUCCGUAACUGGUCUGAGAAGGAUGAUCAGUCACACUGGAACUGA
This 316-nucleotide ribosomal RNA is filed under the name uncultured bacterium. Its description in RNAcentral is "bacterial SSU rRNA". It matches the Rfam family "Bacterial small subunit ribosomal RNA", at positions 1 to 322 of the family's 1533-position model. The record is from RNAcentral.